AUACGGAGGGUGCGAGCGUUGUUCGGAAUUAUUGGGCGUAAAGCGCGUGUAGGCGGUUUGUUAAGUCUGAUGUGAAAGCCCCGGGCUCAACCUGGGAAGUGCAUUGGAUACUGGCAGACUUGAAUACGGGAGAGGGCAGUGGAAUUCUUGGUGUAGGAGUGAAAUCCGUAGAUAUCAGGAGGAACACCGGUGGCGAAGGCGGCUGCCUGGACCGAUACUGACACUCAGACGCGAAAGCUAGGGUAGC
RNAcentral lists this ribosomal RNA (247 nucleotides) under uncultured bacterium. RNAcentral's name for it is "partial 16S ribosomal RNA". It matches the Rfam family "Bacterial small subunit ribosomal RNA", at positions 523 to 769 of the family's 1533-position model. The record is from RNAcentral.